GAUCACUGUUGGCAAAUCGAUUAAGUUUGUCAUGUUUCCCUUCCCUUUGUGAUGCUCAGAAGAUUGCCUUUUAUUUAUUUCAUAUGAUCAAAAUAAUGAUUCACACAACAUUUGCCAGUGCCCGUCCCGCUCAAACAAGAUCGUCCAACAUUGCUCGAGCAAGAGAAAAACAGCAACUGCAUGCGCUCGCUCAAAUAUUUCUCUCUUUCCCAGAAUGAACAUUCUGUGUUCCAAUACGCUUAGUAGUGGUAUGGAGGUGGUGGAGAUUUGUACUUGUACACCGGAGGAGGUGGAGAAUACACUGGCGGAGGUGGGGAUUUGUACUUGUACACUGGAGGUGGUGGGGAGUAAACCGGAGGUGGCGGAGACUUGUAUUUGUACACUGGUGGAGGCGGGCUGUGAACCGGGGGUGGUGGAGAUUUGUACUUGUAAACCGGUGGUGGUGGGCUGUGAACUGGGGGUGGCGGAGACUUGUAUUUGUAAACUGGUGGUGGUGGGCUGUAAACCGGGGGUGGUGGAGAUUUGUACUUGUAAACCGGUGGUGGUGGGCUGUGAACUGGGGGUGGCGGAGACUUGUAUUUGUAAACUGGCGGUGGUGGGCUGUAAACCGGUGGAGGUGGAGAUUUGUACUUGUACACUGGAGGAGGAGGUGAGUACACGGGUGGUGGUGGGGAUUUGUAUUUGUAGACGGGUGGAGGAGGCGAGUGCACUGGUGGUGGUGGGGAUUUGUAUUUGUAGACAGGCGGAGGUGGCGAGUACACUGGCGGUGGCGGGGACUUGUAUUUGUACACCGGUGGAGGUGGCGACUUCACUGGUGGAGGCGGGGAUUUGUAGUAGUAUGUUGGCGGUGGCGGGGAAGCGUAUUUGUAAACCGGCGGCUCAUUGGCGCCCGCGAGAGCGGCCAGUGUCACACCCACAAAGAAGACGACGAGCAUUGGGCUCGGCCCCAUCAUCCUUGGAUCAAUCGACCACUAUAAGCUACUUGCGACUCAAUCGCCCAAACCAAUGCUAUCUAGAUUUCAAGAGCGCGAUACCAAUUUCCCCUCUCAAAUCUCUCUUGCGGAGGAGAGAAGAGAAGAAGAGCUAGUUAGAAUGGAAGAAUGGAGCACCGGAGGAGGGCUUUUUAUACUGCCUGCUUUCGCUCGAAGCACUUACUGGCUCUGGAGCCGAGUUACUAAAAUAGCAUUUCUUAAAACGCAUGGACGGUGUAGACGGAGCGCAAAGUUGACCGGGUUUCUUCGAUUCACUCUGUGAACAACUGGUUAAACGAAAACAACACGGUGGAAGUGGGGUCUCGUUGCCAGCUUUCAAAAGAAGUUUCAAAGAGAAUGGCCAAAUGGGAAAUGGUCUCAUCUCCAAAACAAACUAAUCUCUAGACUUUUUGUUUGGGUUCCCAGAGCAGCAGUUUUGCUCAAACUCGUUGUUUGGUGGUCAGUCCGAGUCGCGUUUGGCGGAGCGCAGCGACUUGCACAACUUUCUUGCUCUUUGUUUAUUUGUUUUCGCCAUCUUUGCAUGUCGAUAGAGUUUCAAUGACUCGAGCUCUGGGAAGAAUGAAUCAAAGGAAAGAGCUGUUCGAACAACUAAAUCCUCUUGAAAUGCGCGAGCUUGAAAAAUUUGCAAAAGGGAAGAAACUGUUGAAGCAAGUGCGAUUUGUACACAUGGAUGUUCUCCACGAGUGAAGUGAAAAACUAUUUGUCCUUGUGUGGAAGAAUGAAGAACAGUGGUUUUCAUUCAGCUAACCUGGUCUCUUUCCUUCAAAGUGACGUCCAGAUUCGAGCGGACCAGCAGAAAACUCUUAGAAAACUCUCACGAACAAAUCGCUCGACGAUCAAUCAAUCGUAUUCUUUACUUGCCAGCGAGAUCUUCUCGGGUCAAUGUGGGGCGCUGGGCCGAGGUAAAAACACGAACAAUUUCACUGUGAAAUCCGUGACUUUUUUACACCACGCUACUUUCCCAUCAUCGCAUGUUUCGUGGCAUGUCAGAGUGACAGAAGCUCAUUUACAGGCUCCCUACGUAGCUCUUGCUCCAUGACUAUCACGAAGCAAGAUGAUUACCUUGGCCUCUCUCCAAGCUGUAAGACACGACCGAUUUACAGGCGAUUGUACGAAGUUACUUUGUCUUUGGUAACUCAAAGAAUCACAUGCAGGCUUGCUUCCAAUGGACGUUUAUUCUCGUCCUUCAAAUCUUGACUUGACAAUGUUGCUGCUGCUUCUGCUGUUGCAUUCGGUCACGAUGAUUGCGUGCUUGGCAAAGAUAGAACUCCAUUCCCUGCAAAACUGACAAGCCAUUGAGUUUUUUCAGUAAGUCCUUUAAAAUAUAGUGUUAUAUUAUGGUUUAUGUCGAAAAUGGUAAGUGGUUUUUGGAAGAGUUUAAACAAGUUUUCAAGCUGGACGCCACUACAUGGUGAAGAUGACCGGCAUUGGAUUCAGCUAUGUGAUCUUGCCAGAAUUUCAAUUAGCUACAGCAGUGCAGAGAGGAAACUUUUCAUUUCAUCUGAUUGAAAGGGGUCUUUGUGACAAAAACAUUUUACUGAAGCUAUCGAAAAUUUUAGAAACGAAGAAGAAGAAUCGUCUCAAAUUUGUCCAUUAUACGUGCUAUGGCUGGCUCUCGAACGUUGAUCGCAUCGAUAUCCAUACAGUCAUGAGCAGCUGCCACCAUGGAAAGAGUGAACGAAGUUGAAAAGACGAAAGAGCGGCCUCUAGAUUGCAACAGCAAUUUCCACUUGCAACUGCUGCUUGAGAAACGAUUGAGAGAAGUUAAAAAAUCAUGUCAGACCUGGUAGCAAUGAAACCACCCUAACAACCACUCCAUUUUCACCACAGAUCAAAGAUUCGUGGAGGUAUCUCCAGUUUUAGAACACUCUUUGGAUCUGGAGAUGAUACACAUCGUCGAUAACCAGAAAAAAGUUAUACUUAUCCUACAGUUGAACCAGCUUACUACACCAAAGACCAAUUCAGAGCUUUGAGGUUGAUAGGAGAGAUGAGAUACUUGUCAGUAAUGACAACUUUCCUUUCAACUUUAAGAUCUGCAUGAGACAAAAACGCAUAAGUCAACAGAGGACAAGAAUGCUUUCUCAUGUUAUUAUAGAUCUAUAUAUAUUACUAGGGACAUUGCUAGCAAUAGUGGUUUCUCUGUGCUUGCUUAUCUUAGUGUUCAUGAAGUUUCCUUCCACAUUUUCAGUGCACUACCUUAUAAUGAAAAGUGAAUGUGGAGAGUAGGAAAAGAGUGAGUGCCGAACAUGCUAAACUACCUUUCCCAAGUCAAAGGCCAUUUUGUUCCGGUAUGGAAAAUAUUGAAUAGUGGGGAGAGAGGAAGCACCAAAGAGAGAAUUAAGUUAUUUCUACCACGAAGCUAGCAAGAAGAAAAAGGAGGCAAGAAUCCAAAAACACCAAGUGUAAUGGUUUAUUUAAGAGGCUCCAAAGCAAGAAGUGCUCUAGGACCAAGCAUAAUCAUUAUUGAAAUGAUGUUAAAGGGUUAGAAUGUGCUCGUAACCAAGAAAAAGUCAAGGUUUUUGUUGUUUUAAACUAAGUGUGAUUAAAUAAUAGGGAUUAGUAAUAAUUAUAAGGCUUAGGGUAUGAAAUACAAAAAAGGGUUUGGUGGAAAGUAAAAAGUGUGAUAAAGAAUAACAAUAGCAUUGUUGAAGAGGUCAAUGUCGAAGAGGAUGAACUCUUAGAUGGCCGUAGUGACAAUUAAUAUCGAAGUGUAGGGAGGUUUAAAUCUCUAGGCAAUAAUGGUUUUUCCGUGGUGUUUGUGGAGUUUCCCUCCACAUACUAAUAUUCUGUAUACUCCUUUCUAGGUUGGUCAUUGACGGUGUCCAGGUGGCUCAAAAUUAUUUAGAAUUAUUGGAUAAGAUUUUGUCAUUUUGGAUUGUCAAUUAUUAUUGAAUAAUUUUGGUUGAACAUUUUUAUUGGAUUUUUUGAGAAUCAUUGGAUAAUUUUUGUCAAGCUUUGCAUAUCAAAAUUAUUGGAUAAUUUUUGUAGAGAAUUUUGUUUGAAAAUUGUUGAAUAGUUUUUGUUGAGCUUUUUGUAUUGGAAUUGUCAAGAAUUAUUAGAUAAUUUUUGUUUUUUAGAUAAAAACUUUCAUAUUGGAAUUUUAGAGAUUUUCUGGAUUAAAUUUUUUGUCACUUUUUGGACUUUUUGAAUCUGCUUUUUAGUUACACCACUGUUGAAAAUGUUAUGCAAUAGGAAAAUUUAAUUGAGAGACAGCCUCAUGGCAAACAAGAAUGGAACUUCCACUAUUCUUCUUCAACGUUUCCACCAACUUCGUGGUGGUAGGAUAAAUCCUUUGGGCAACUUAUUCAUAUCUGGAGCUCUGUGAGUUUGUGGAGGACAAUACCUACUUUUAGAUGAGUAAUGAAUGAAGAGACCAUAUCUAUACUUCUUACGUUCUAGCAAGCCACAGACUAGUUUGAUAUGGAUAUAUUCCUUUAGCUGAAAAACUACCUUACCACUCUUGACUGAUGUGUUAGUGCAUGAUAUAAAGUCAAUCAUACUAUAUUUUCUCAAGGCAAAUUACUCAUUGUUUAGCAUAAUGGAUGCAUCACAUCCAUGAAAAUGAUAUGAACCAGGCUUUUCUUUCAUGACUAUCAUGUGAAUGUAAGUAAAGUUUUCAGAUUAUAAAGAUUCUUUCAAUGCCUAAAAGCCAUUAUUAAUAAAUGUAUGUGUUAAUAUUUUAUUGUUGAUUUUGCCUUUCUUUGUACAUUGUAGAACAUCUAGAGUCAUGACUUAUUGAAAGAAAAAUUAAAUUUGUGCUCAAAAUUCUGAAAUUUCAUGGAAGCUAGCUUAGUACAUUUUUAAUAUAUAAGUGUUUACAGUCCACUUAUGGCCAAACUAAGGAGCAAAGGACCCUACUCCUACAUGCAUGCAAUACAUUUUAACUCUCUCGUGUCCCUCUAGUCAAUGAUUUUGAUUUUCAUUGCCAUGAGCUUGAGCAGGGGUGUUAGCUAUAAGGGCUAUAUACAACUUAUGACAUUGAACUAUAUAAAGAAAGGAACAUAAGGAUGCUGCUUUUCACUUGCAGGACAAUCUUCGUGGAUUAAAAGUUUUCAAAUUUUUAAACAAAAAUCCAGCUAGCUGUAUGGAAGAACUUGUCAGUUUUGCUUUCUAGACAGGUGCAAUGGAAAUUCACAAGUUUGAGUUGCAGUUGGACUCUUGCAUGUUUUUCCACACCGUGUUGGGGACUCUUGUAUCCUUGUGUGGAUCACUGUUGGCAAAUCGAUUAAGUUUGUCAUGUUUCCCUUCCCUUUGUGAUGCUCAGAAGAUUGCCUUUUAUUUAUUUCAUAUGAUCAAAAUAAUGAUUCACACAACAUUUGCCAGUGCCCAUCCCGCUCAAACAAGAUCGUCCAACAUUGCUCGAGCAAGAGAAAAACAGCAACUGCAUGCGCUCGCUCAAAUAUUUCUCUCUUUCCCAGAAUGAACAUUCUGUGUUCCAAUACGCUUAGUAGUGGUAUGGAGGUGGUGGAGAUUUGUACUUGUACACCGGAGGAGGUGGAGAAUACACUGGCGGUGGUGGGGAUUUGUACUUGUACACUGGAGGUGGUGGGGAGUAAACCGGAGGUGGCGGAGACUUGUAUUUGUACACUGGUGGAGGCGGGCUGUGAACCGGGGGUGGUGGAGAUUUGUACUUGUAAACCGGUGGUGGUGGGCUGUGAACCGGGGGUGGCGGAGACUUGUAUUUGUAAACUGGUGGUGGUGGGCUGUAAACCGGGGGUGGUGGAGAUUUGUACUUGUAAACCGGG
RNAcentral lists this long non-coding RNA (5737 nucleotides) under Selaginella moellendorffii. Its description in RNAcentral is "long non-coding RNA (SMOE_LNC002114)". Lineage: Eukaryota; Viridiplantae; Streptophyta; Lycopodiopsida; Selaginellales; Selaginellaceae. The record is from RNAcentral.